This 289-nucleotide unclassified non-coding RNA is filed under the name Epithamnolia sp. RNAcentral describes it as "partial contains 5.8S ribosomal RNA, internal transcribed spacer 2, and large subunit ribosomal RNA". The stretch from base 1 to 52 matches the Rfam family "5.8S ribosomal RNA", at positions 103 to 154 of the family's 154-position model. Lineage: Eukaryota; Fungi; Ascomycota; Leotiomycetes; Phacidiales. The record is from RNAcentral. RNAcentral also lists the same sequence under 1 other name.
AACGCACAUUGCGCCCACUGGUAUUCCGGUGGGCAUGCCUGUUCGAGCGUCAUUAUCCCCCCUCAAACCCCCGUGUUUGGUGUUGGGCCGGGUCGUGUGUCCUUUUCGCACGACCGGCCCCAAAGACAAUGACGGCGUCCGUGGGACCCUCGGUGCAACGAGCUUUUUUCGAAGCACGCGCCGAGUUGCAAGGUCCCGGCGGGCCGGUCACCUCUUUUCUCGAGCAAUCGGGAAUCGAACUUUUCAACAGGUUGACCUCGGAUCAGGUAGGAAUACCCGCUGAACUUAA